RNAcentral lists this ribosomal RNA (493 nucleotides) under uncultured bacterium. Its description in RNAcentral is "partial 16S ribosomal RNA". It matches the Rfam family "Bacterial small subunit ribosomal RNA", at positions 29 to 523 of the family's 1533-position model. The record is from RNAcentral.
AUUGAACGCUGGCGGCAUGCUUUACACAUGCAAGUCGAACGGUAACAGGUUAAGCUGACGAGUGGCGAACGGGUGAGUAAUGCAUCGGAACGUGCCCGAUCGUGGGGGAUAACGCAGCGAAAGCUGCGCUAAUACCGCAUACGAUCUGAGGAUGAAAGCGGGGGACCGUAAGGCCUCGCGCGAUCGGAGCGGCCGAUGUCAGAUUAGGUAGUUGGUGGGGUAAAGGCUCACCAAGCCGACGAUCUGUAGCUGGUCUGGGAGGACGACCAGCCACACUGGGACUGAGACACGGCACAGACUCCUACGGGAGGCAGCAGUGGGGAAUGUUGGACAAUGGGCGAAAGCCUGAUCCAGCAAUGCCGCGUGCAGGAAGAAGGCCUUCGGGUUGUAAACUGCUUUUGUACGGAGCGAAAAGGCUCUCUCUAAUACAGGGGGCUCAUGACGGUACCGUAAGAAUAAGCACCGGCUAACUACGUGCCAGCCGCCGCAGUAA